GACGAACCGUGCAAACGUUAUUCGGAAUCACUGGGCUUAAAGCGCGUGUAGGCGGUGCCGCACGUCCGGGGUGAAAGCCCAGGGCUCAACCCUGGAAGUGCACUGGAUACGACGGCGCUGGAGUCCUGAAGAGGAGGGCGGAAUUCCCGGUGUAGCGGUGGAAUGCGCAGAUAUCAGGAGGAACACCGGUGGCGAAGGCGGGUCUCUGGGCAGUAACUGACGCUGAGGAGCGAAAGCGUGGGGAGCGAACAGG
RNAcentral lists this ribosomal RNA (253 nucleotides) under uncultured bacterium. Its description in RNAcentral is "partial 16S ribosomal RNA". It matches the Rfam family "Bacterial small subunit ribosomal RNA", at positions 524 to 776 of the family's 1533-position model. The record is from RNAcentral.